AGAUUUGCGUCAUAGUCUGCGACAUACGUUUCUAUGAGCAGGACGGGAUGCCAGUCAGGCUUCCUUGUUUUUAUGACGGACGUGAUGACACGCAGUGACCUCCUCCACAAGGCAUCCCCAAAAGUAAAGGAACAGCAGGCCAGCCACGUACUGCAUGAGUCCUCGAUCCCAGCAGCAACCGAGCACGCCGAUGAUCCAGCCGAAGAAGAUGAUGGCCACCGCCAUGCCCAUGAAGCCUGCCGUCAUUCGCCGCAAAUCUGCCGGCACACGGUGGCAGAAAUUACGGUCAUCUCUCAUCGUCCCGGCCGCCGUCAAGUCACACCGAAAAGUCAGGUAAGUUUUUCAACGAUUAUCUACCGCUGAACAAAUCGAGACGGAAAAUACGCUCGAGCCGCCUUUGAGGCGGACGUUGCCGAGGACGAUAAAUCUCCGGGAUUAGGAGCUCGGAGUUUUGAAAACCGAGCCAUAAAUCGUCUUAAACUGGGCAAGAAGCCACAGCCAACUAACUUUUUGGUAACUGUAAAAAUAUCACGUCCGGAGAAGCUACGAAAUAAACUCCAUUGCCAACUAUUUUGCUAACCAAAACAGCAGCAGCAAAACCUUCUCAUAUGAGGAACUUGAUACCUUGUGAAGUGAGAAACAAGCUUCAUGUGGGCGGUCCAUAGCCUUGUCUAAUAAAAGCAGUACUUUGCCGCCAUCCCGUAGAACGAAAGCCGUUUCCAAAUACGUUUGCGUGGGCAUCGUUUACUAUCGAGUUUUUAUUCUUCACUUCACAUUAGUGAAAAACUGUCAACCAAAUUAGCAAUGUUGUUUCUUCAAAUCUAAAAUUCUCAGCUCGUAGGAAAAUAACGUGUUCAUGCUGUUUUCGGAACCUUCAUUUGACAUCGCUGGGAACAUAUUCCGUACAUGGUUUGGGGAGGGAAAUUGCUCAUAGAUUGAGGUCAGGGGAUGUCAUCUUACUUCUUAAAUAUUCAUUCCAGCAGCACAUUUCUAAAUGUAGUCCAUAUUGCAACGAUGACAACGCGAGGGCAAAAAAGAACAAGGGCAGCAGUGUGUGCACGGGGGAGGGGGGGGGGGAUGGGUAAUGACAGGGCUCGAACUACGAAGGCAACGUCCAAGAAGCGAAAAAAAAAAAAAACAA
Hippocampus zosterae (dwarf seahorse) is the source of this 1141-nucleotide long non-coding RNA. RefSeq lists it as uncharacterized. The transcript has 3 exons. NCBI's taxonomy places the organism in Eukaryota, Metazoa, Chordata, Actinopteri, Syngnathiformes, Syngnathidae. The record is from RefSeq and is a predicted model, not a curated record.